AAAAGUCCAUCAUACCAGCACAAAUGCUGAAGUCAGGUGUGAGAGAGGGACUGCAGAGGAAAGAUGGUUUCUAAGUUCUGAACAAGGACCUUGUAAAAAGGCUGAAUUGCUGUCAAGACAACCAGGAAGAAAUAUACAUAAGGGAAGAAUAGUGAAGAUUACAUUAUUGGUCAGCUCUGAGUCACAAGUUAAUAGUGCUGACUGCUUCCUGUCCCCCGCAGCAUAGGUAUACUCAGCUUAUUUGAUGAAUACAGUCCCAACAAUUUCUCCAGCUUCGGCUGCAACACAGCAGGGGAUUUACCGGAGGAGAAGGGAAGAUGCAAAAGCAGUAGGAUACCCAUCUGCUCAUCAGCACUGACCAGCACAGCAAGUUCCGUGCUAUAGAGGCCAAAACAACAUGGAGAUCUCUCUCAGAGCCAUCAUCAUUCAAAAUGCAACAUCAGCACAAAGCCUCAGCAAUCCCUUUGCACAAGCUGUCAUGGGAACCAGCACUAUGGAGGGAAGUUGCUACAACCACAAGGUCUUCAGCUGUGCAAGACCAGUCUGGCCUUCUGGCCUUGCUUUAGAGUGCAAGCAUGGUAGGUAUCGCUUGCAUCUCUCUUCAAG
RNAcentral lists this long non-coding RNA (606 nucleotides) under Anas platyrhynchos platyrhynchos (common mallard). RNAcentral's name for it is "lncRNA (ENSAPLG00000025031.1)". The record is from RNAcentral. Lineage: Eukaryota; Metazoa; Chordata; Aves; Anseriformes; Anatidae.